RNAcentral lists this transfer RNA (85 nucleotides) under Fannyhessea vaginae DSM 15829. RNAcentral describes it as "Atopobium vaginae DSM 15829 tRNA". It matches the Rfam family "tRNA". From Rfam's summary of the family: Transfer RNA (tRNA) molecules are approximately 80 nucleotides in length. Lineage: Bacteria; Bacillati; Actinomycetota; Coriobacteriia; Coriobacteriales; Atopobiaceae. The record is from Rfam by way of RNAcentral.
GCGAGCGUGGCGGAAUUGGCAGACGCGCCAGACUUAGGAUCUGGUGAGUAUUGUACUCGUGAAGGUUCAAGUCCUUUCGCUCGCA